CUAAGGAAUUGCUUGCUUGUUGCAAAGUCCCUGACUGUUCCUGCAUACUAGACGCCCAGUUUGGAGCAAUAUCGUUAAAGCUUCGCACCUCUGUUCUCUUAUCUCCGUGCCCACUUACUGAGUUCGGACCAGUGAGGGAAUUUCUCACAAUUUGGGGGCUUGUCCGGGAUACUCUUGCAGGUGGGAGGUGGGGGCCCAAGCGGAGUGGGAAGACACGUCCCGCCCGACUUUGGGCGGCCCGCUCUGUCUGGGUGUUUCACCUGCACACGAAAGAGAAGACCUGAGACUUGUGAGGAGACAGCGUGACCGAGGCAGAGGAGGAAACGCAGGCACUGCUGCAACCAGGCGACCUCGUGCACGAGCCAGGGUGGGAAAAUUGGACUGCUGAAAGGACUCCUCGCCCAGACUCCCCCACUUGAGUUCUUCACCCACUGCUUCCAGCCUGGAGACCUUGUAUUAGUAAAGUCCUGGAAAGAAGACCGACUGCAGCCCAGCUGGGAAGGCCCCUACCAAGUGCUCCUGACCACGGAGACUGCAGUGUGGAUGGUGGAAGAGGGCUGGACUCCCUACACCAGAAUCAAGAAAUUGACUGAGGGAUCUGGGGACAAAACGGAGAACUGGAAGGUGUCCCAAGUGGCUGACCACCUCUUGAGGCUAAAACUGAAAAGGAUCUAAAAUGUUAAUCUUUAUCCUUCUAACUCUAUAUUUUACAGGCAUCUCUCAGGGAAGCCUAGAAUGGGAAGGAACUCCUGGUUAUCCUGUCAAACUGGUGAUCAAUAUUACAAAACCAUCAGGCCCCCAAACCAUCAGGUUUGAUGCUUGUCAGGUUCUCUCUUGUGGUGACGUAAAUAACCAAAGACAGCUUUCUGGAGACAACAAGUAUCUCUGUCCUGAAUGGACGAGUGUUAGCGGACCAAAAAAAGCAAACGGGCCCCCGUGUCCAGGCUGGAGCAAUGUCUGGUGGACUACCCAGUUUCAAGGGUGGACAGCCCCUCAUGCGACAGGGAAACCUUUAAAAGGAAAGCUCCGCUUGGCUAAAGGCAUUCCUCCUGCAAAUUGCCAGGACAAACAAUGUAACCCCCUCUUGUUAACUAUAAAUAACCCUCAAGAUUUAGACUCCGACCCUGUAAUUGCUCCUCGUGUUUAUGGACUUGGUGCAGAUGUUACUGGAAUAGAUCCCUUGGGAAGGUUUGGUCUUAAUUUAAUCCAAGACAAGAUUUCACCCAUAGUGACCACCACCCCCAGUCCUGAGGUAGAUAGUGAACCAGAACCUUCCCUUAAUCACCCUAAACUAGUUACUGUACAGACUGGUUAGAAGGAUGGUUUGGAAAACAGAAAGGUAUGGUUGCCUCUGUUUUAACAUCUCUUGUUAUAGUUGAGGAAUUUCAACUGUAGGAUGCCGUAUCAUUCCUUGGGUGAGAGGCCUGACCCAGAGGCCUAUAAAGGCAGCCGUAAACAAAUACCUAUGACAUGCACCUAAUCUUACAUGUUGGAAGAUAAAUUUGACAAAUUUAUUAGAUAUAGAUAUAUAGAUAUUAGAUAUAUAGAAAUUAUAUAUAGAAAAAUAUAUUAGAAAAAAAAAUAAUAAGUAAAUAUAUAUAUAUAUAUAUAUAUAUAUAUAUUAGAAAAGUUUGAAAAAGAACCAGGCAUGAGUUGAAGUACAUUACUGGGAAUAAAAUCAGAAAUUCUUAAAUAAGAGGGGGAACUGCUAGAAAAAGCAUAAAACCUAAACGUGAUUUAUUCCCACCCACCAGGGGGUUUAAACAUAAGGUAUUGACAAAAAGCCCUUGUGGUGACAUACAUGCCUGGAAGUUGCUCAGGCUCAGAGGGGGAAGGAAUGUGAGAAGGCUGUGCAUAUUUGGGGGCAGGGGGGAAAGUUUUGAAACACCCAAUAAAGUUAAGACAAAUGUAAAGAAAGCCUAAUAUGAUAUAACUUGCUUAGGUGACAUCCAGGUGAGAAUGCGAACCCUGUAGUACUCAGCCAAUGAGGAACCAGGGGAGGGAGUCACAUGCUAAGGAAUAAAUUGUCUGUUGUAACCACGCUAAAUGGGCCUGCUCACCAGACGCCCGAUCCUGCAAGACUGCCAUUAAAUAGGCUCGCUGCACUGUU
Manis pentadactyla (Chinese pangolin) is the source of this 2110-nucleotide long non-coding RNA. RefSeq lists it as uncharacterized. The record is from RefSeq and is a predicted model, not a curated record. Lineage: Eukaryota; Metazoa; Chordata; Mammalia; Pholidota; Manidae. The transcript has 2 exons.